This is a long non-coding RNA of Medicago truncatula (barrel medic), 633 nucleotides long. RefSeq lists it as uncharacterized. The record is from RefSeq and is a predicted model, not a curated record. NCBI's taxonomy places the organism in Eukaryota, Viridiplantae, Streptophyta, Magnoliopsida, Fabales, Fabaceae. The transcript has 2 exons.
UUUAUAAUUUUGUUGGACCACACCAAUUGGUUUCCAAUGGAAGUAGUAAUCUUCAAAGUUCAAAUUAAGGCUUUAUAAAUAGCAGCACUAGGGAUUUUGGGAUAUCACAGUUAGUUAUUUUAAGGAAAUAAAAGAAGGAGUAUAUCAUAAUGGAGAGGAAAAUACUUCUUGUGUUGUGCUUCUUCCUCUUUGCUCUCACCGUUGCUCAAGGAAGAUGUAUGAAAAUGAGUUCUCGAUUUGUUGGUCUAUGCACUGGCCCACUUGAAAGCCAAGUUUGUGACUAUACUUGCAUUGGAGAAGGUUACCCUAAUGGUACAUGCUUCAGUGAGGUGUGCUAUUGUAGCUGUUGAAUUUGCCACUAUAUACAUAAAUAAAACUAGCUGUAAUAUCUUGUCAAUAAAAAAUAGCCAUAAUAGCUCAUGAUGCCCCCAUCAAAUCCUAGACAUCAUAUUAUAGAUGAUGUACACUCUCAUGUAUUAGGCACAUUUUAGUUAAUGAAAUGCAAUGUAUUUUUUCCUAAAAUGAAAGUUGUAAUAUCUUUAAUAAGUUGUCUAUUUCCACGCAUCUGUAUUAUUAUCAAUCUAUUUUGCAACUGAUUAAUUGAUAAAGAAAGUUGGGAGGUGUUUGAAUUUA